RNAcentral lists this ribosomal RNA (800 nucleotides) under Halomonas sp. RNAcentral's name for it is "bacterial SSU rRNA". It matches the Rfam family "Bacterial small subunit ribosomal RNA", at positions 66 to 863 of the family's 1533-position model. The record is from RNAcentral. Lineage: Bacteria; Pseudomonadati; Pseudomonadota; Gammaproteobacteria; Oceanospirillales; Halomonadaceae.
GCGGUAACAGGUCCAGCUUGCUGGAUGCUGACGAGCGGCGGACGGGUGAGUAACGCAUAGGAAUCUACCCGGUAGUGGGGGAUAACCUGGGGAAACCCAGGCUAAUACCGCAUACGUCCUACGGGAGAAAGGGGGCUUUGGCUCCCGCUAUUGGAUGAGCCUAUGCCGGAUUAGCUGGUUGGUGAGGUAAUGGCUCACCAAGGCGACGAUCCGUAGCUGGUCUGAGAGGAUGAUCAGCCACAUCGGGACUGAGACACGGCCCGAACUCCUACGGGAGGCAGCAGUGGGGAAUAUUGGACAAUGGGGGCAACCCUGAUCCAGCCAUGCCGCGUGUGUGAAGAAGGCCCUCGGGUUGUAAAGCACUUUCAGCGAGGAAGAACGCCUGUCGGUUAAUACCCGGCAGGAAAGACAUCACUCGCAGAAGAAGCACCGGCUAACUCCGUGCCAGCAGCCGCGGUAAUACGGAGGGUGCAAGCGUUAAUCGGAAUUACUGGGCGUAAAGCGCGCGUAGGUGGCUUGAUAAGCCGGUUGUGAAAGCCCCGGGCUCAACCUGGGAACGGCAUCCGGAACUAUUAGGCUAGAGUGCAGGAGAGGAAGGUAGAAUUCCCGGUGUAGCGGUGAAAUGCGUAGAGAUCGGGAGGAAUACCAGUGGCGAAGGCGGCCUUCUGGACUGACACUGACACUGAGGUGCGAAAGCGUGGGUAGCAAACAGGAUUAGAUACCCUGGUAGUCCACGCCGUAAACGAUGUCGACCAGCCGUUGGGUGCCUAGCGCACUUUGUGGCGAAGUUAACGCGAUAA